GCUUAACACAUGCAAGUCGAGGGGCAGCAUGGUCUUAGCUUGCUAAGGCCGAUGGCGACCGGCGCACGGGUGAGUAACACGUAUCCAACCUGCCGUCUACUCUUGGACAGCCUUCUGAAAGGAAGAUUAAUACAAGAUGGCAUCAUGAGUCCGCAUGUUCACAUGAUUAAAGGUAUUCCGGUAGACGAUGGGGAUGCGUUCCAUUAGAUAGUAGGCGGGGUAACGGCCCACCUAGUCUUCGAUGGAUAGGGGUUCUGAGAGGAAGGUCCCCCACAUUGGAACUGAGACACGGUCCAAACUCCUACGGGAGGCAGCAGUGAGGAAUAUUGGUCAAUGGGCGAGAGCCUGAACCAGCCAAGUAGCGUGAAGGAUGACUGCCCUAUGGGUUGUAAACUUCUUUUAUAAAGGAAUAAAGUCGGGUAUGGAUACCCGUUUGCAUGUACUUUAUGAAUAAGGAUCGGCUAACUCCGUGCCAGCAGCCGCGGUAAUACGGAGGAUCCGAGCGUUAUCCGGAUUUAUUGGGUUUAAAGGGAGCGUAGAUGGAUGUUUAAGUCAGUUGUGAAAGUUUGCGGCUCAACCGUAAAAUUGCAGUUGAUACUGGAUAUCUUGAGUGCAGUUGAGGCAGGCGGAAUUCGUGGUGUAGCGGUGAAAUGCUUAGAUAUCACGAGGAACUCCGAUUGCGAAGGCAGCCUGCUAAGCUGCAACUGACAUUGAGGCUCGAAAGUGUGGGUAUCAAACAGGAUUAGAUACCCUGGUAGUCCACACGGUAAACGAUGAAUACUCGCUGUUUGCGAUAUACAGCAAGCGGCCAAGCGAAAGCGUUAAGUAUUCCACCUGGGGAGUACGCCGGCAACGGUGAAACUCAAAGGAAUUGACGGGGGCCCGCACAAGCGGAGGAACAUGUGGUUUAAUUCGAUGAUACGCGAGGAACCUUACCCGGGCUUAAAUUGCAGAUGAAUUACGGUGAAAGCCGUAAGCCGCAAGGCAUCUGUGAAGGUGCUGCAUGGUUGUCGUCAGCUCGUGCCGUGAGGUGUCGGCUUAAGUGCCAUAACGAGCGCAACCCUUGUUGUCAGUUACUAACAGGUUCCGCUGAGGACUCUGACAAGACUGCCAUCGUAAGAUGUGAGGAAGGUGGGGAUGACGUCAAAUCAGCACGGCCCUUACGUCCGGGGCUACACACGUGUUACAAUGGGGGGUACAGAGGGCCGCUACCACGCGAGUGGAUGCCAAUCCCCAAAACCUCUCUCAGUUCGGACUGGAGUCUGCAACCCGACUCCACGAAGCUGGAUUCGCUAGUAAUCGCGCAUCAGCCACGGCGCGGUGAAUACGUUCCCGGGCCUUGUACACACCGCCCGUCAAGCCAUGGGAGCCGGGGGUACCUGAAGUGCGUAACCGCGAGGAGCGCCCUAGGGUAAAACUGGUGACUGGGGCUAAGU
Molecule: ribosomal RNA, 1436 nt
Filed under: uncultured organism
Description: 16S ribosomal RNA
Rfam family: Bacterial small subunit ribosomal RNA
Source: RNAcentral